AGCGACCUCGUCGCCAGGCGCUAGCGAAAAGACACGUUUGGAUCUUAGUUGAGCUCGUUCGUUCCGAGUUGAGACUCGCUCUGCGCACACGAAAACAGGAGAGAGAAAAGGCGGAAGGAAAGUCAGCGAGAGCGCGGUGGCACACAAGUGUACACCUUAGAUUAUUGGUGGUGUUUGGUGUACUGCAGGAAAACGAACGAGAGAAGACGGAGUCUGUGCUAAGGAGGGUGGAAGACUGGAGGUGUGGUCCAUAUUUUCAAAAGUGAGUUCGGAGUCCCGACUGUCCCGAGACGUACCUAACUAUACACACGCACCCCCGCUGUCCCAGCUUCCAAAUAGCAGAGUGUAGAGCGAGAGGAGACUGCAGAGGGGGAGAGAGAGAGCCGUCAUAUCAGCGAAACAAAAUCUGAAAAGGCGGAGGAGGUGGGAUUCAAAGCAGAGGGGCAGGCAGUAGCACCAGCAGUCCAGCAGAGCAGUAGAGCGGGACUUCUUGCUUUAACGGGACUGUACACAUACGCCAAGUACUCUUCGCGCGUGGGUGGUAAAAGUUAGAGGUGCGUGUGCGUGUUGCGGAGCAGCAGCAACAACCAGCAGCCAGGAUGUCGGACAACAAUCCGGAGACCUCCGCCGACCGCAACGUCGAGAUCUGGAAGAUCAAGAAGCUCAUCAAGAGCUUGGAGAUGGCCAGGGGGAAUGGUACAAGUAUGAUUUCACUAAUCAUUCCGCCAAAAGAUCAAAUCUCCAGAGUCAGUAAAAUGUUGGCUGAUGAAUUUGGUACAGCAUCAAAUAUCAAGUCUCGAGUGAACAGACUAUCCGUCCUUGGUGCCAUCACAUCAGUACAACACAGACUAAAAUUAUAUACCAAAGUACCUCCAAAUGGCCUGGUUAUUUACUGUGGUACAAUUGUUACUGAAGAAGGGAAAGAAAAGAAAGUUAACAUUGAUUUUGAGCCAUUUAAACCUAUUAACACUUCACUUUAUCUCUGUGACAAUAAGUUUCACACCGAAGCGUUGACGGCGUUGCUGGCAGACGACAACAAAUUUGGUUUUAUUGUUAUGGAUGGUAAUGGUGCGCUUUUUGGUACUCUACAAGGAAACACACGAGAAGUUCUGCACAAAUUCACAGUUGAUUUACCGAAAAAACAUGGUAGAGGAGGUCAGUCCGCUCUUCGUUUUGCUCGAUUGCGAAUGGAAAAACGUCACAAUUACGUACGGAAAGUAGCUGAAGUGGCGACGCAGCUCUUUAUAUCCAAUGACAAACCUAACAUUGCUGGUUUGAUACUUGCUGGUAGUGCCGAUUUCAAAACGGAGCUUAGUCAAUCGGACAUGUUUGAUCCCAGAUUGCAAACUAAAGUUAUAAAACUAGUCGAUGUUUCGUAUGGUGGUGAAAAUGGAUUCAAUCAAGCAAUCGAAUUAGCUGCCGAAUCGCUGCAAAAUGUCAAGUUCAUCCAAGAAAAGAAACUUAUUGGCCGUUACUUUGAUGAGAUUUCUCAAGACACGGGAAAGUACUGUUUUGGCGUUGAAGAUACCCUGAGAGCUCUUGAAUUAGGUAGUGUAGAAACCUUAAUUUGUUGGGAGAAUCUCGACAUCCAGAGAUACGUGUUAAAGAAUCAUACGAGUAGUGAAGAAAAAGUCUUACAUCUAACGCCGGAACAGGAAAAAGACAAGUCACACUUCACAGACAAAGAGAGCGGGGUUGAGUUAGAAUUGGUGGAGUGUCAACCACUACUUGAGUGGCUUGCAAAUAACUACAAGAGUUUCGGUGCGACAUUAGAAAUUAUUACGGACAAGUCUCAAGAAGGAUCGCAAUUCGUUAGAGGCUUUGGGGGUAUUGGAGGAAUCCUCCGCUACAAAGUCGACUUCCAGUCAUUACAGGCUGAUGAGCCUCUCGAUGACGUCGACCUCGAUGAUUAUUAAAAAACUCACGUCUCUGUCGCUUGGUCAGAGCCGUGUUCAGCUUGCUAACUGGAAAAGGUAACUAAAAAUGUAUUUUACGGUACAAGGUGGACUUUCAGAGCAUGCAGUUGGAAGAGGCUGAGUUCGACAGCUUUGACUACGAUGAUUAUUAAAUUUA
RNAcentral lists this unclassified non-coding RNA (2073 nucleotides) under Copidosoma floridanum. Its description in RNAcentral is "eukaryotic peptide chain release factor subunit 1, transcript variant X3". Lineage: Eukaryota; Metazoa; Arthropoda; Insecta; Hymenoptera; Encyrtidae. The record is from RNAcentral.